RNAcentral lists this ribosomal RNA (286 nucleotides) under uncultured Eubacteriales bacterium. RNAcentral describes it as "uncultured Clostridiales bacterium partial 16S ribosomal RNA". It matches the Rfam family "Bacterial small subunit ribosomal RNA", at positions 60 to 339 of the family's 1533-position model. The record is from RNAcentral. Lineage: Bacteria; Bacillati; Bacillota; Clostridia; Eubacteriales.
AGUCUUUUUAAGGAAGUUUUCGGAUGGAAUUGAAAAGACUGAGUGGCGGACGGGUGAGUAACGCGUGGGUAACCUGCCUCAUACAGGGGGAUAACAGUUGGAAACGACUGCUAAUACCGCAUAAGCGCACGGAACCGCAUGAUUCUGUGUGAAAAACUGAGGUGGUAUGAGAUGGACCCGCGUCUGAUUAGCUAGUUGGAGGGGUAACGGCCCACCAAGGCGACGAUCCAUAGCCGACCUGAGAGGGUGACCGGCCACAUUGGGACUGAGACACGGCCCAAACUCC